This 3516-nucleotide long non-coding RNA is filed under the name Sus scrofa (pig). RNAcentral describes it as "lncRNA (ENSSSCG00055027714.1)". Lineage: Eukaryota; Metazoa; Chordata; Mammalia; Artiodactyla; Suidae. The record is from RNAcentral.
GCUCUGGCCUACACCACAGCCACUACAACGCGGGAUCUGAGCUACAUCUGUGACCUAUGCGGCAGCUCAUGGCAAUGCUGGAUCCUUAACUCACUGAGUGAGGCCAGGGAUUGAACCCACAUCCUCAUGGAUACUAGCUGGUUCUUAACCCGCUGAGCCACCACGGGAACUCCCUGGCCUUGCUUCUAGACAUAGAAAAUUUUAUUUUAGGUUUAUAGCAAAACUGAAUGGAAAGCACAGAGUUCCCAUAUACCUCCUGCCAUCCACUUUCUCCAACACACAGCCUCCCCCACCAACAACCUCUCUUCAUCAGAAUGGGACAUCUGUCGGAUCAAUGAACCUACUCUGACACACCACUGUUGCCCACUCCACAGUUGACAUUAGGGUUCAUUCUUGGUGUUGGGGACUCUGUGGGUUGUCUAAUGAUGUGUGACCCACCAUGACAGUCUCACACAGGGCAGCCUCCCUGCCCUCAAAGUCCUCUGUGCUCUACACAGUCAGCCCGCCCUCCCUGCUAAUUCCUGGAAACCACGGAUCUUUUCCCUGUCUCUGCAGGCUUACCUUUUUUAGAAUGUCAUGUACUUGGAAUCCUACAGUAUGUAGCCUUUUCUGAUUGACUUCUUUCACUUGGUAACGUUCAUUGAAGUUUCCUCCUUAUCUUUGCAUGGCUUAAUAGAGCUCAUGUCUUUUUAGUGCUAAUAUUCCUUUGUCUGGAUGUACCUUGGUGUAUGUGCUCAUCCAUCUCCUGAAAGACAUUUUGGUUGCUUCCAACAUUUGGGAAAUAUAAGUAAAGCUGUUAUAAAAUCUAUCUGCUGGUUUGUGUGGUGACAUAUGAUUUCAACAGAUUUGAGUAAACAUCAGAGUGUGACUGCUGGAUCAUAUUGUAGGAGUAUGUUUAGGUAUGUACUUCAAAAAUUACAUUAUUAGUAUAUAAACACAUUGUCCUCUAGACACACAGCUAAUAUUUAUUGAGCACAUACCACAUGCCAGAGGGUGAUUCUAUGAAUUAUUAUUAUUAUUAUUGCUUUUUAGGGCCGUACUGGUGUGGUUCUAAAAAAAAUGUAAAAGAAAAAGAAAAAAAAAAAAAAAGGGAGUUCCCGUCGUGGUGCAGUGGUUAACGAAUCUGACUAGGAACCAUGAGGUUGCGGGUUCGCUCCCUGCCCUUGCUCAGUGGGUUAACGAUCCGGCGUUGCCGUGAGCUGUGGUGUAGGUUGCAGACGUGGCUCGGAUCCUGCGUUGCUGUGGCUCUGGCAUAGGGCGGUGGCUACAGCUCCGAUUGGACCCCUAGCCUGGGAACCUCCAUAUGCCGCGGGGAGCGGCCCAAAGAAAUAGCAAAAAGACAAAAAAAAAAAAAAUGUUAAAGAGGGAGAUGGAGUACAAAUGACUAGAUAUAAUUUUUUUAAGCACAAGUUUUCAGUUCACCCAUGAUCUUAAUGAAUUUGACUAUACAUUUGAAUUUGACUAUAUAUUUUAUUUAUUUUUUUAGGGCUGCACCUGCAGCAUACAGAAGUUCCCAGGCAAGGGAUCUAAUUGGAACUGUAGCUGCUGGCCUACACCACAGCCACAGCAAUACCAGAUCCAAGCUGUGCCUGGGACCUACACCACAGUUCACAGCAAUGCCUGAUCCUUAACCCACUGAGCAAGGCCAGGAAUUGAACCUGCAUCCUCAUGGAUACUACUCAAUUUAUUUCUGCUGAGCCAUGAUGAGAACUCCCACUGAAAUUUAUUUUAAAAAAAAUGUUGGUUUGAGAACCAAAGAACAAUGUGAAGAUAAUGUUUGUUAUAGAAUUAUUACUGAAAAUAAUUUUGCCCUGUACAGGUGGGGAGUGUUAUAAAAUGACCCACUUUAGGCAUCAAAUAUUCUCGAUGUUCUUGUUCCCAGAGGAAUUUUAUGCCAUGAGUUUCCUGUGUAUCUUUCCGACCUUGCUUUAUACUGGUACAUACAAAUACACAUAUUGAUAAAACAUAGAUCACAUUAUUUUGUUGUUUGUUGGCCAUACCCAAGGCAUACGGACUUUCCGGGGCUAGGGAUUAAACCUAAGCCACAGCAGUGACAGUACUGGAUCCUUAACUUGCCAAGCCACCAGGGAACUCCUAUGUAGUGUUAUUUUGGACACAUACAAAGAUUUAAAGAUAUGGGAAUAUUAUCACCUUUUAUACUUUGUUCAAUGACUGUUUCUCACUCUGCAGGAUGUGUUUAAGGUCUUGCCAUGUGAAUUCUUUUUUCUAGACUAGUUCUUUCUUUUAAAUUGCUGUAUCCAUUAAAGAGACAGCAUUUUACUCCUGCACUUUCCCCCUGACAUUUACUUAGGCUGUUUCCAGGUUUUUGUUUGUUUUUACUAUUAUAAACAAUCUACCUUGGCCUGGAGUUUCUUAGGAGGUGACAAGGUCAGGGGCAGGCAGAGUUUUCAGUGAAAGGAUCCCAUCAGGCGCCCUCCUGAAGGCUGUCCCAGCCUGUGGUUUCUGACGGUCAAGUCUAUUUUCACUCUUGCCCUUUGCCCAACUGCCCAGGCCCAGGCAAGGCCCAGGAUGCCUUUCUCAUCUCAGGUGGCACCUCCUGCAUGGAUCCCGUGACCCCCUGGCUGUCACAAACCUGUACCAGAAACCUCGUGAUCUGGGCUAUUUAGGCAACCUCCUCUGCUCCAACAUGCAUAUCUGUGCGCGCGCACCCACGCACACCCCUCCCACACACACACCCCCACACCCCUGUCUCUUAGUGCCAAAAAGAGGUUUCCCGCCCGGAUCGUGUUACUCUGCUCUGUGUUCCCAACCUGGCAGCUGGGACUGGGGAUCCCAAGGGCUGUUCUCACUGCCUGUCUACACCCAUAUAUAUUUUUUCUCUUCCCCUAAACAUUCCCCUGGCCCUCACCUAUGCCUGCAAGGGACACCAAGCCCAGCUGCCUCCUCUUUUCCUUUUAUGUAUGUAUCUGCUUCCUCAAUUAGUUUGUGACAUCCUUGAGGGUAGGGACAGAGCCUUGCUCGCUAGGUCCUAGAACAUGGCACAAAGUAGGUGCUGGGUCAUCGGAGAAUUAACAACUGAGAAAUAAUUAUAGGAGCUCUGUGUUGGGUCCUUCCUCUGGGGGGCACCAUUCUUCAUGUGCAUUAUCUCCUUCAAUCCUCACCUGGCCACAGGAUUAGGAGCUGUUAUUAUUCCUGUGAAGUAGCAAUUAUCCUUAUCUUAUGGUUGGGGAAACUAAGGCUCAGAGAGCUUAAGCAUAUUGCCCAGGCUUUGAACUGGGGUGUCUGCCUGACCUUUGCUGAUGAUACCCUCUAGACUCUGCCAUCUGACUAGGUCAAGUUUGGAAGUUCAGAGUGAGACAGGCACGAUCUUCACCCUCAGUUCCUUAGCCAUAUGAGAAAGUCUUGGACCACCAGCAUCUCCUCUCAGGACACUGUGAACAUCUCUUAUCUGAUGUCUUGCUCACUCUGCACUCCCCUCCAGCCAGCCUGAUCAUCCUGAGACACAAAUUAGAAUAUAUUUCCCUUCUUCCUCUUGCUCAGACCCUUUCCUUGCUU